This 252-nucleotide ribosomal RNA is filed under the name uncultured bacterium. RNAcentral's name for it is "partial 16S ribosomal RNA". It matches the Rfam family "Bacterial small subunit ribosomal RNA", at positions 524 to 776 of the family's 1533-position model. The record is from RNAcentral.
GACGGGGGGGGCAAGUGUUCUUCGGAAUGACUGGGCGUAAGGGCACGUUAGGCGGUGAAUCGGGUUGAAAAGUGAAAGUCGCCAAAAAGUGGCGGAAUGCUCUCGAAACCAAUUCACUUGAGUGAGACAGAGGAGAGUGGAAUUUCGUGUGUAGGGGUGAAAUCCGUAGAUCUACGAAGGAACGCCAAAAGCGAAGGCAGCUCUCUGGGUCCCUACCGACGCUGGGGUGCGAAAGCAUGGGGAGCGAACAGG